RNAcentral lists this ribosomal RNA (442 nucleotides) under uncultured bacterium. Its description in RNAcentral is "partial 16S ribosomal RNA". It matches the Rfam family "Bacterial small subunit ribosomal RNA", at positions 338 to 795 of the family's 1533-position model. The record is from RNAcentral.
CCUACGGGAGGCAGCAGUAGGGAAUCUUUCACAAUGGGCGAAAGCCUGAUGGAGCAACGCCGCGUGCAGGAUGGAGGCCUUCGGGUUGUACACUGCUUUUAUAAGCGAGAAAUAUGAUGGUAACUUAUGAAUAAGGAUCGGCUAACUACGUGCCAGCAGCCGCGGUCAUACGUAGGAUCCGAGCAUUAUCCGGAGUGACUGGGUGUAAAGAGUUGCGUAGGUGGCAUAAUAAGUAGCUAGGGAAAUCUGGUGGCUCAACCAUUCAGACUAUUAGCUAAACUGUUAAGCUUGAGACCGUUAGGGGUAACUGGAAGUUCUAGUGUAGGAGUGAAAUCCGUAGAUAUUAGAAGGAACACCAAUAGCGUAGGCAGGUUACUGGGACGGUUCUGACACUAAGGCACGAAAGCGUAGGGAGCAAACGGGAUUAGAUACCCUAGUAGUC